GAGUUUGAUCGUGGCUCAGGACGAACGCUGGCGGCGUGCUUAACACAUGCAAGUCGCACGAGGACGGGAGCUUGCUCCCGAGCCGAGUGGCGGACGGGUGAGUAACACGUGACCAACCUGUCCUAGGGUGAGGGACAACCUGGGGAAACCCGGGCUAAUACCGCAUGAUGUCUCGAGGUCGCAUGGCCAUGAGAUCAAAGAGGGCCUCUGCUUGCAAGCUCUCGCCCUGGGAGGGGGUCGCGGCGUAUCAGCUAGUUGGUAGGGUAACGGCCUACCAAGGCUACGACGCGUAGCGGGUCUGAGAGGACGACCCGCCUCAUUGGGACUGAGAUACGGCCCAGACUCCUACGGGAGGCAGCAGUGGGGAAUAUUGCGCAAUGGACGAAAGUCUGACGCAGCGACGCCGCGUGUGGGAGGAAGCUCUUCGGGGGUGUAAACCACUGUCAGGAGGGAAGAAACUCGCCGGCCCGAACAGGAACGGCGAUUGACGGU
This 492-nucleotide ribosomal RNA is filed under the name uncultured Actinomycetes bacterium. RNAcentral describes it as "bacterial SSU rRNA". It matches the Rfam family "Bacterial small subunit ribosomal RNA", at positions 9 to 476 of the family's 1533-position model. Lineage: Bacteria; Bacillati; Actinomycetota; Actinomycetes. The record is from RNAcentral.